This 414-nucleotide ribosomal RNA is filed under the name uncultured bacterium. RNAcentral describes it as "bacterial SSU rRNA". It matches the Rfam family "Bacterial small subunit ribosomal RNA", at positions 29 to 424 of the family's 1533-position model. The record is from RNAcentral.
AGCGAACGUUAGCGGCGGGCCUAACACAUGCAAGUCGAACGAGAAUGAGGGAGCAAUCCCUCUAGUAAAGUGGCGGACGGGUGCGUAACACGUGGGUGAUCUACCUUCCGGCGGGGGACAACAGUCCGAAAGGAUUGCUAAUACCGCGUACGUCGGCGAGGCCUCCGGGCUUCGUCGGGAAAGACGGCCUCUCCUUGGAAGCUGUCACCGGAAGAUGAGCCCGCGGCCCAUCAGCUAGUUGGUGAGGUAACGGCUCACCAAGGCUAAGACGGGUAGCUGGUCUGAGAGGAUGAUCAGCCACACUGGGACUGCGACACGGCCCAGACUCCUACGGGAGGCAGCAGUGGGGAAUAUUGGGCAAUGGGCGAAAGCCUGACCCAGCCACGCCGCGUGAGUGAUGAAGGCCUUCGGGUC